UAGAAAAUAAACACCCAAAUAUUCAGAGUAAAAGAAAGAUCUAGAAAAGAAGGAGGUAUGGCGGUCCUGAACCUGAUCAGAGGGGUAUGUAGUUAAUCGAAUUUGCGCGAGAAUCUUACUUGAUUAUGUAUUGGGAAACUAACAUUCUGUCCACUGCCGUCGGAAAUUUUGGUUAAAAAGCACAGAUUUUGAUCCGAUCGAACGGAUUACGACAGGUAAAGGUGCAGACAAUAUUCAAGUAUCUAAUGUACCUUUGCUAAGAUAAAGUAAAACUUUUAAUGAAAAAGAAAGUUUAAUUAAAUUUGAGAGUAAAAUAAAAAAAUCAUGUUUAUUUGAAAAUGGCUCUUCAGGGUGUA
This 356-nucleotide ribosomal RNA is filed under the name Acidoproctus emersoni. RNAcentral's name for it is "partial 12S ribosomal RNA". The record is from RNAcentral. Lineage: Eukaryota; Metazoa; Arthropoda; Insecta; Psocodea; Philopteridae.